Molecule: non-coding RNA, 19 nt
Filed under: Arabidopsis thaliana (thale cress)
Lineage: Eukaryota; Viridiplantae; Streptophyta; Magnoliopsida; Brassicales; Brassicaceae
Source: RNAcentral
CCCAGAAGGUGUUCGAUGG